This 294-nucleotide ribosomal RNA is filed under the name Campylopus oerstedianus. RNAcentral's name for it is "5.8S ribosomal RNA". The record is from RNAcentral. Lineage: Eukaryota; Viridiplantae; Streptophyta; Bryopsida; Dicranales; Leucobryaceae.
AACUUGCGUUCAAAGACUCGAUGAUUCGCGGAAUUCUGCAAUUCACACUACGUAUCGCAUUUCGCUGCGUUCUUCAUCGUUGCAGGAGCCAAGAUAUCCGUUGCUGAGAGUUGUUAUUAUAUUAUUUUCACAACUCGUGAUGAGGAGGAGGAGGAUGAUGACACUCUCUUCUCUGAGGGUCCAAAUUAUUAUCUCCACAAGUCCUCCCGAGCCGCCCGUGAGGGCGGCCGAAAUUUUUUGGGGAUUUCAUACGAGGAGUCUGUGUGUGUGUGUGUGUGGUGUGUCGCUAGAGUA